Molecule: ribosomal RNA, 816 nt
Filed under: Escherichia coli
Lineage: Bacteria; Pseudomonadati; Pseudomonadota; Gammaproteobacteria; Enterobacterales; Enterobacteriaceae
Also listed under: 1 other name
Description: partial 23S ribosomal RNA
Rfam family: Bacterial large subunit ribosomal RNA
Source: RNAcentral
CUGUGAGCUCGAUGAGUAGGGCGGGACACGUGGUAUCCUGUCUGAAUAUGGGGGGACCAUCCUCCAAGGCUAAAUACUCCUGACUGACCGAUAGUGAACCAGUACCGUGAGGGAAAGGCGAAAAGAACCCCGGCGAGGGGAGUGAAAAAGAACCUGAAACCGUGUACGUACAAGCAGUGGGAGCACAGAGCAAUCUGUGUGACUGCGUACCUUUUGUAUAAUGGGUCAGCGACUUAUAUUCUGUAGCAAGGUUAACCGAAUAGGGGAGCCGAAGGGAAACCGAGUCUUAACUGGGCGUUAAGUUGCAGGGUAUAGACCCGAAACCCGGUGAUCUAGCCAUGGGCAGGUUGAAGGUUGGGUAACACUAACUGGAGGACCGAACCGACUAAUGUUGAAAAAUUAGCGGAUGACUUGUGGCUGGGGGUGAAAGGCCAAUCAAACCGGGAGAUAGCUGGUUCUCCCCGAAAGCUAUUUAGGUAGCGCCUCGUGAAUUCAUCUCCGGGGGUAGAGCACUGUUUCGGCAAGGGGGUCAUCCCGACUUACCAACCCGAUGCAAACUGCGAAUACCGGAGAAUGUUAUCACGGGAGACACACGGCGGGUGCUAACGUCCGUCGUGAAGAGGGAAACAACCCAGACCGCCAGCUAAGGUCCCAAAGUCAUGGUUAAGUGGGAAACGAUGUGGGAAGGCCCAGACAGCCAGGAUGUUGGCUUAGAAGCAGCCAUCAUUUAAAGAAAGCGUAAUAGCUCACUGGUCGAGUCGGCCUGCGCGGAAGAUGUAACGGGGCUAAACCAUGCACCGAAGCUGCGGCAGCGAC